This 1317-nucleotide ribosomal RNA is filed under the name Triticum aestivum (bread wheat). RNAcentral describes it as "partial small subunit ribosomal RNA". Lineage: Eukaryota; Viridiplantae; Streptophyta; Magnoliopsida; Poales; Poaceae. The record is from RNAcentral.
AUGGCGGCGCCGCGCGUCCUCCUCCUCCUCGCCGCCGCGGCCCUUCUCGCCGUCGCCUCCCUCGGGGACGCUUCGGGCGAGGGCCCCCGCGGGCGCAAGCUGCUGGUGCUCGUCGACGAUCUGGCCGUCCGCUCAUCCCACUCGGCCUUCUUCGGCUCGCUCCAGGCCCGCGGGCUAGAUCUGGAGUUCCGCCUCGCCGACGACCCCAAGCUCUCGCUCCACCGCUACGGUCAGUACCUCUACGACGGCCUCGUGCUCUUCGCCCCAUCGACCCCGCGCUUCGGCGGAUCGGUGGACCAGAAUGCUGUUCUGGAGUUUAUCGAUGCCGGGCAUGAUAUGAUUCUGGCAGCAGAUCAUUCGGCUUCAGAUCUGAUCCGCGGCAUCGCGACGGAGUGUGGGGUUGACUUUGAUGAGGACCCGGAAGCAAUGGUUAUUGACCACAUCAAUUAUGCCUCCAGUGAGGUUGAAGGUGACCACACCUUGAUUGCUGGCGAUGACCUGAUUCAGUCAGAUGUGAUAUUGGGGUCCAAAAAGAUUGAGGCUCCUGUGCUGUUUCGAGGGAUUGGGCAUGCGGCCAAUCCAUCCAACAGCUUGGUUUUAAAGGUUCUAUCUGCCUCGCCAUCAGCGUAUUCAGCAAACCCGGAGGCUAAGUUGGCAUCUGUUCCAUCUCUCACUGGGUCGGCCAUAUCGCUGGUUUCUGUUAUGCAGGCUAGGAAUAAUGCUCGUGUGUUGAUAUCUGGAUCACUGGAUUUGUUUAGCAACAGGUUCCUAAAGUCUGGUGUGCAGAAGGCUGGCAGCAAAAUGAGCCAUGACAAAGCUGGAAAUGAACAAUUUGUGACAGAGACGAGCAAAUGGGUCUUCCAUGAGAGGGGUCAUCUGAAGGCAGUGAAUGUCAAGCACCAUAAGGUUGGGGAGACAAAUGAGCCUAGCAUGUACCGCAUCAAUGAUGACUUGGAAUACUCAGUUGAGAUAUAUGAAUGGUCUGGUACAAGCUGGAAGCCAUAUGUUGCUGAUGAUGUUCAGAUUCAGUUUUUCAUGAUGAGCCCUUAUGUUCUGAAAAAUAUGUCAACUGACAAAACUGCUGUAUAUUCAGCAUCCUUCAAAGUUCCAGAUGUUUAUGGAGUUUUCCAGUUCAAGGUUGAGUACCAAAGGCUUGGAUACACUGGCCUCUCUCUUGCAAAGCAGAUUCCAGUGCGUCCAUACAGGCAUGACGAGUAUGAGAGGUUCAUAACUUCAGCGUUUCCGUACUAUGCUGCCUCAUUUUCAACAAUGGGAGCCUUCUUCAUAUUCUCGGUUGCGUACCUGUAUCACAAAUAG